AAGACCAGGUAAUCCGGGUAGUGGGGAGGGUUUGGGAUGGUGGUCGCUCAAGGGGGGAGGGCGGCGAUGUCGGCAGCUGGCUGCUGGGGCAUGAUAGUAGAGGUCGGGGGCCUAGGUGGGGCAGCUGAGGAGGAGGAGGUCGAGGCCGGCUGCGACUAGUAGAGGUCGGGGGCCUAGGUGGGGCAGCUGCUGAGGAGGAGGUCAAGGCCGGCUGCGACUAGUAGAGGUCGGAGGCCUAGGUGGGGCAGCUGCUGCUGAUGCAAGGGGCGUGCCGGCCGCUGCUUCUAAGGCUGGAGCCUGCUGCACAGGGAGGGGUAGUGCUGUUACCGUGGUUUUGCUCCACCCUUCAAUUGUCUCAGACCAGUUCUACUCUGGCUCCUGGUUGGAUACUGAGUACUACUAAAAGAAUCAUACGGAUCGAGAUUUAAACGGGUGGUUCUAUACACACUAGCCUAAUGGUUUAGUCACCGUCUCUAUAGCAUAGUGUUGCCAUUUAUGUUUAGAGAACACGGUCCACAGUAGGAACUCUAACUUGUUCCGUCGAUAACGUAAGAGAAACUUACACCAUAAUACACCGCAAACUUUUAGGGUAGAAAACUCUAUUCCAAGAACUUACCAAGUCUUUAGCAGUUCAACAGGUCGCGUCAAAACCUUAGUGUAGCACAACUGUAAAAACCUUUAAUAUAUAGUAACCGACGGAAGAGAAUAUUAUGGCGAGGUUUAACGGAUAGUCGGAUAUUAUAAACCGGUCUUACGAUGAUCCCCCGUCUGGGAUAUAGAUAAACUAAAGUCUAAGCUUUGGGGUUGUCAAUGAUUUCCUUAGCACUUGAAACGGCUACUUGAAGUGAAAGAUAACCCACGAUUCCGACUAGAAGAGAUAAUAAGACCUCGAGAACAUAAGCUACUUUUAACGUUCGAACAACCGUAUCAUAAACUAGUACUUCUGUCAGAUGAUACACAGGUCCAGUUAGUGAAUUCCUUUAACGAAAACCUGAAGAAAGGUCCCUGUUUCAGAUACCUACCGAAAAUAGCCUUUAAUUUACGACGUUUCCUGAAACACUAUAUCAGCCUACUUUUUCUCCCCUUCUUCUGAGUUUCCUUCUCCUGAGGUUCAUUCUCCUCCAGUUCUGAACUUGAUUUAGUUCGUAAAACUCGAAACGAUACUUACAUUUAUUCGAGACGAUGGUGUGAGUAGGGACCGCGUACCGUUAGGGGACAGAUUCAUGGUGAAAAUAUCAUCACAUACAUACGUUGAACGUGUUUUGAUCUUUUCAUCUAUAUUUAUUAAACGCACGUCAGCCUAGGAAAAUAUAAAAAGACUUCGUACGUACAACAGACCCAUGACUGCCUCUGGUCGAUGACUCCUUUCAUAAAUUGUUUCAACGAGUUAGCGAUUUAGACUCACUUACAGUGAAACAAAUACGACACUUUCCCACUUUGUAGAGACAUUCGCGGCAGCCUCUAUUUGAUUAACAAUAACGACCGGAAAGAGGAGAACCACAGGACAACAACGAAGACUUUCGG
Molecule: ribosomal RNA, 1524 nt
Filed under: Triticum aestivum (bread wheat)
Lineage: Eukaryota; Viridiplantae; Streptophyta; Magnoliopsida; Poales; Poaceae
Description: partial small subunit ribosomal RNA
Source: RNAcentral